CCGUGCGAAGGUAGCAUAAUCAAUAGUCUUUUAAUUGAAGGCUUGAAUGAAUGGUUGGACGAGAAAUAAACUGUCUCUUUAUAAAUAAAUUGAAAUUUACUUUUAAGUAAAAAGGCUUAAAUUAUUUUAAGGGACGAUAAGACCCUAUAAAUCUUUAUAUUAAAUAUUAUUUAUUUUAAAAACAUAAGUAUAAAAAAAAAUAAAUAUUAUAUAAUAUUUUAUUGGGGUGAUAUAAAUAUAAUAAAUAACUAUUUAACUUUUAUUACAAUAAUUUUUGAUUUAUUUUUAAGAUCCUUUAUUAAGAUUCUAAGUUCAAGUUACUUUAGGGAUAACAGCGUUAUUUUUUUUAAGAGUUCCCAUCAAAAAAAAAGUUUGCGACCUCGAUGUUGAAUUAAAAUAUCCUUAUGGUGCAGAAGUUAUAAGAAAAAGUCUGUUCGACUUUUAAAAUUUUACAU
This 455-nucleotide ribosomal RNA is filed under the name Uroptychus nitidus. RNAcentral's name for it is "partial 16S large subunit ribosomal RNA". The stretch from base 328 to 455 matches the Rfam family "Bacterial large subunit ribosomal RNA", at positions 2473 to 2601 of the family's 2925-position model. Lineage: Eukaryota; Metazoa; Arthropoda; Malacostraca; Decapoda; Chirostylidae. The record is from RNAcentral.